Molecule: long non-coding RNA, 27541 nt
Filed under: Triticum aestivum (bread wheat)
Lineage: Eukaryota; Viridiplantae; Streptophyta; Magnoliopsida; Poales; Poaceae
Description: long non-coding RNA (TAES_LNC013351)
Source: RNAcentral
UCCCCCUCACCACUUCUUCCACCACCGGCCGUCGCCGCGGCCAUGCCGGCGUGGCGGCGCGCCAGCAGCUCCACCACGCGCAGCACCACCGCGCCAUAGCACCACCCAUAAUCUCCAUCCAUCUGCGCCUCCCAGCCACCCAUCAUUCCCUCCAUCCACAGCGCCGCCAGAACCCAUCCACCAUCACCUCCAGCCGGUGCCGCCGCCUCGCCUACAGCCAUCUCCCUGCUGUCCGCUGCUCUCCUCUUCUUUCCAUCCUUCUUCUCCUCACCAUGCUGCUGCUCCUCCCUCUCAAUCUCUACUGCUGCUCUUCCUUGCGCCCCCGUGCUGCUGCCUCUCCUUCCCUUCGUUGCUGCUGCUUCUCCUUUGAUCCCUUUGCUACUGCUCCUCUUCUUCGUGCCCAACCUCCGCUGCUGCUCCUCUUUCCUGCUGCAUCCCUGCUGCUGCUACUCCCUCUCACCACGCCUCUGCUGCUCUCUUUCCCCUCCUGCUGCUGCUCUCCUCACCAUGCUGCUUCUCCUUUCUGCUUCUCCUCUUGCUGCUGCUGCCCGCCCCCGACCUCCUGCUGCUAUCUCUCUCUACUUCCCCUGCUACCUUUCUUCUCUGAACCUACCUACUGCUUCUCUCUCUCUCUCUGAAAUUGUUGUAGUACUAAGAUUUGUAAGACAGUGUACUACAACCUGUUAAUUGUUCAGUUCAGAUUUUUGCUUGUUUAGUAUUAUUCUGUUGAUCUGUCCUAAUCUUGUGGCUAGUAUAAUUUCGUUUCUGUUGUUACUUGUGUAACCUGAACCGAGGUUAGUAUCCUAUUUGCAUAUGUGUGUUUUGUGUGUUCUGUAGUCCCUGUAUUAGUUACGUACCUGUGAUAUAUAAAUGUGUGUGUGCGUGUGUGUGUGUGUGUGUGUGUGUAAUUCAUCAAAAUAUAUUGUUGUGUGAUGAUGAUAUAUGUUCAGUCUAGAGACACGUUGUUUUUCUUGCUUUGUAGAUCGAUGUGAACUAGUACUCUUGUGUGUUUCUGUUGUCACUAGUUAAAUUGAUCACCUAUGUACUACUUGUUGUAGAAACUUGUUACAUUAGUCCUUGUGCUAGCUAUGCACCUGUGAUAAAUAUGUGUGUGAUGUGAAACAUUUCUGUUCUGUCCUAUAAUAUUGUUUCCUCCCUCUUUUGCUUGUCAUUAUGCUAUAUGUGUUCAUGUCCUAAUGUUUCCCUUUAUGUUAGUUUCUAAUUUCUCAUGCCUAAUAAAAAUACCAAAAGAGAGCAAGUAAGAUCUGAUCCUCCCUUUGCUAUUUUGCCUUUUCUUUGUGGAUCAUCUUCGGGAGCAACCUUGUUUAGUUUAGGUUUAUUUUCUUGCAGCCAUAAUCUCAAUUGUGUUACCUAGAUUUAGCUGAGCAUAGUCGCCGUCGCCUAGUCCCUGAGGGGAACACGACACUCGCGAUUUGGGCGAAAUAUCCCACCGCAUUUACAAACGAUCAUUUUGGCGCCGUUGCCGGGGACUAGCAUCGAGUGACAGUGUUAGGCUAUAGACUAGGUUUUUCUUGUUUUCAUUUUGUGCCAUAUAUUUGUGAUAUAUCUCUAGCCACUAACCCCUGUUCUAGGUAGUAUCUUUUUGUCUUCUUUUCCUUUUUUGCAGGUUGGAUUAUCCUCUCGGAAAUGGCAUUCUAUUCGGAUCAUCAGGCUUAUGCGAGCAACACUACAAACAACAUGAAAAGAAUUCAAGAACUGAUAAGUAAGAUUUCCCAUCGAUUAGAUGAUUUAGCUCGGCAGCGAGAAGUAGUUUUUGUGGAUAGUCCUAGCUCUUAUGAUCCUUAUUCUGGAGGCCAUCCUUAUGUUGCUCCUACUUGCCAUAUUUGUGGAUUUCAGGGCCAUUCGCUCGCUGAAUGUCAGCGUGGUUACUCUCGCCCUCCAGAUUGUUUUGGCAUGAGCUUUGCUCAAGAGCAUAGCUCAUACCAAAACAAUUACUCACAUGGGUGGCCUGAGAACCCGAAUAUGUCAUUUAGGAGCAACAACCCUGAGAUCUUAUCAUUUGCCUCUAGUAAUCCAAUGCAGGGAUUUAGGUAUGAAGAGGAGAGCCACAACUAUGCUCCACAACAGUUUUAUUCACCUCCUACUCAUAUACCGCAGCACCAGGAGAUGUGUCCAAUGGAGUUAAAUGGUCCUCCGUUUGGUCAACCAACAACUUCAGCACCUAAUGAGUCGGUAGAGCAAUCUCAUGUGCAGGGAUUUAGGUAUGAAGAGGAGAGCCACAACUAUGCUCCACAACAGUUUUAUUCACCUCCUACUCAUAUACCGCAGCACCAGGAGAUGUGUCCAAUGGAGUUAAAUGGUCCUCCAUUUGGUCAACCAACAACUUCAGCACCUAAUGAGUCGGUAGAGCAAUCUCAUGUGCAAGUGCCCACACAAGAUGAGUUCGAUGACAUAGACAAACUCACACUUUUGAGUCUCGAGUUCACUUGGAGUGCCGAGGAUGAUCCUAUUAGGAAGGUUAUACUAGAGGAAAUGAAGAGGAUCAAGAGUGGAAAAGAGCUAGUGGAAGAAGUAAGGAAGAUUGAGAAGAGCAUCAAUGCUGGCAGCACUAUUUCUUCACAACUAGAGCUGAGUAUUUCUGGGAUAUCCUUUGAUACAUGUGAGGCUCCAACACCGUCACAUCCAGCUGAGCAAGAUAGAAAAAGUCCAGAGGAAGAGAGACCUUAGAUUGAAGUUGAACUCAAGGAACAAGAUGAUCAAGAGCUACAAUUUCCAAGUGAUCAAGUUGAAGACUCAUCAUCUACUACUCCUAAAGAAGUACAAGAAGCUGUUGUAGAUGAAGAUGAAGAACCUGAGAUUCAUUGGCCUAUUGUCAUACAUGAACCUGAUAUGUCAGGUUUACCCAAUCCUCUUGAUGACAUGCUGCCUUGUGAUUUCUUUGCUUCUAACUUGCAUUGCAUGAUGCCAUCACUUAAGGUAGAUUUGAAAAACUAUUUGCUUGGACAUGAUCAUACACACCCUGUUAGUGGCAUUGCUCAUAUCUCUGUUCAUGAUACUUAUGUUCCUGAUGCUAUACACAUGCUUAAUGAAACGUGUGAUUCUAAUACUAGCAUUGAGCUUACUGAAUUGUACCAUCCUAAACAUGUGCUUUAUAGCUAUGCUUAUGUAAUUGGGUACUCUAUUGAUGAUUUAGAGGGCAUUACCCUUGUCACUUGUAUCGCCUCCUUGGUUGAGUGCUCUUUCAGCUUGUUGCUUGUGCACGAUCCACUACAUGCUGGCCAAGUUCGAGAUGACAUUCCUUGGGACCCCGGUGGACCCAUGGCAUGGGGAUGAGGAGAAGCAAGGAGCACACAUGAAGAGAGAAGCUGUGCCGGCAUGAGGAUAGGGAAGCAAAAGGAGAGGAGUCACAAUGCAAGAGGAUGUGAGAUGAUCGAGCGAGUGCUACAUCAAAGCCCGGUGAGCUGUUUCAUGACCCAUUCCGAGUAUAUCAUCCAUUGAUGCUUGCUGAAUUAAAUUGCUAUUUGGGUUGCUUGUGCCAUUUCUUAAAUGUUGUCCCACAGAUUUUUCACCUUUGACAUAUGGUGCUUGAUGAGAAUAUGUGAACUGAUUGUUGAAUGCCUUGUAAACUAGUGAUCUACAUCCUGUUUGCUUUGCUGAAAGUAGUGAAAGCUAUUAGUUUUGAGUGCUCAAAUCCCUAGUGCACUAGUAAACUUAAUCAUUUUCUGCUUUUACCUUGAUACACCUAAAUCAUUAAGUGUCGGAUGCUGAGUUUGUGCCUAAUGUGUUCCCAUUGAGAGCAAUCACUUACCAUUAUGGAUUAGCAUGCUAUGUUCUCUGGAUCAGUAGCAUGUGAAGUAGACAUGGAUGAGUGAUGAUUCUUGAUUUUGUUCAUUUAAAAAAUGAAAAAUAUAUAUCUUAUAAUGAAUAAAUAAGUCUGACUACCUACAGUAGCAUGUCAUGUUCCCUAGAUCGGUGGCAUGUGGAAUCGGGUUAGCUUGGGCAGUAAUUAAUAAUAAAAAUGUAAUUGUCGAACCAGGUGUAUACCAUAUUCUUGGGAUCGGUGGUAUGUUCCUUUGGGGAGACAAACAAAAAAAACUAAUAAUUGGUCGAGCCGGGUGUAUACCAUGUUCUCGGGAUCGGUGGUAUGUUCCUUUGGUGAGAUCAAUAAAAUAUUAUCAUUACUUUCUUCAAAUUCAAUAAGUGCUUUCAACUGCAAUGUUGUGUUCCUGGUAAUAAGUGAUCUGAUCUCAAGUUUAAGUUUUUUUUGUUUUUGGGAUCAGGCUCUCUUUAGGAACCUUUUGGCACAAUCAGCAUUUGAACUUACUAAUCUUCUUUUAUCAUUGUAAAAGUUUAAAAUGGCCAAGUCUACUAGUAUCCUACUGCUUUGUAGCACUCUAACCAUUAAUUUUCACUAACUAAGUCUGAAGCAUGCACUGUUUAGAGAUCUACUUCACUGGGACAUUCUCCAGUCAGCUCACUGUUCAUUAUCUAGCUCUUGUCAUAUUCCUUUACUUGAGGACAAGCAAAAGUUUAAGUGUGGGGGAACUUGAUAAGCACAUUUCUUAUAUAGAAUUUUGGAACACAAAUUCAUCAUUUAUUGAGAUAUAUUGUCGGUGACGGUUGCAGGGGCGCGGGGUUGCGAGAAGAGCAGGGCUAGUAGACAGCACAAAGAUCGUUUAUCCAGGUUCGGGCCGCGAGGAUGCGUAAAACCCUAGUCCUGGUUUGGUGGGUGUAUUUCAGAGAGUUCUUGAGCUCUCGGACUAGAUGUGGUCAGUGCAUGGUUCAAAAGAGCCGAAUCCUUCUCCAGUAUGUCAUGGGCCUCCUUUUAUAGUCGGAAGGGGCUGCCACAGUGGCACACAGGAGGUGGAAAGGCGUACAGUGCCCUGAGCUUAUCGCUCGUAUUACAGGUGAUAGAGGCGAGGGUGUCCCGAUCUUUCGAUGAGAUGAUAACUAUCGAUUAGGUGGAGUCGACUUUGACGAUCCGACUACAAACGUGCACGACGUUGCGCCUUAGCAAUCGCUAAACCAACUUCGAGAGGUUAUUGACCUCGCCGGAGCACGAUCAACCUGACCACGAAGGUCUAUUCCUGCAUGCAAUCAAAGAACAAGCAAGAAUAUGAUAAUGCAAUCUGAAUAUUGCGAAUAUAGAUGAAGUAUUGAUAAAGAUAGGGAUCCAUAAGCGGUCUUGGUCUGGUCGUUGGACACAAACGAAGUACACGAAGUUGCAAUGGCUAACUUUUAACUAAACAAAUCCCAAGCAAAAAGCUACUAGAUGGAUCUACUUAUAUAGGAGCAAGGGGUGGAGGCCAAAAAGGUGGGAGGACGUCCCAAGGCAGCCUAAAACCAACCCUAGGUCGUACAAGGCUCAUGGGCCCAAGUGGAGGUGAUGCAACACCUUUGGACUUGUUUUUGACUCGGAUUUUGCUGCAGCGUCAGAUUGUUUCGUCCAUAUCUCAAUGCUCCGGACGAAUUUAAAGGUGAAUCCAAUUGGGUUGGAAAGAGGACGAAAUUUACUUUCCAACAAAAAAAGAAUCACCCAAUUCGGAGUCCGUAUGAAAAAGUUGUUGGCGUUUUGAGUCAGGUAUGUCUGUGCAGUCCGAAUCUGAAUCCAGAACGUGAGAGACUUGGACUCUAUCUUCUCUUGGCCCAAAAGUGACGUGAGAGGACUUUUUGAAUAGAACCUAAACUUCUCCUUUUCCCCUAUCUUCAUAUGUGGAUUGUAUAAAUGUCCCAUACACCUGCAAUUAGACAAAACACAAAAGUGUGUGAAGUAUUUUUGUUCUGGAUAACAUAAAUAGAUUAUUGAAUAAUUUGCACUAGAAAUCACCUGACAAAUAUGCAUGUAUGCAAUAUUUUUGGUCGUAUCCAAGGUAGUCAUGUCCUCAUCAUCCUCCCCUUCUUGAAAAUAAAGCCGUCCUCGGCGUUGCUUAAUCUGAAAUGUGGCUAACAAAAGAGACAAGGUGUACAUGUUGUAUAUGUAUAUGUCAUCCAUUUUUACUUCCCGUGGAUUUUGCACAUAUGACACAUGUAUACAUGAGUAACUUUCAUAGUUAAUAAAAUAUAAAGCCAAAAUAUUAUUACAAGUAGAAGGCAUGAAAGUAUUGCAACUCAGUUUGCACAUAUAAGUGAAGCUCUUAUUCAUAUGAAAAGAUUGACAAUAUUCAUCAUUAAACCAUCCCAACAUUGGUGAAUAAACCUUACUUGCAUUAAAUUUACAUGCUACAACAUGCUUAAAUAAGCAAACAUGCAAUAAGUCAUUUGACACAGAAUCAUCACCAAGAUUAGAGGUCAUAUCAAAAUGAUUAAACAUUGGUUCUUUUGCAUCAACAAUUAAUUCAUUGGGUCCACUCAAAAUUGUUGGUAUUUCAGAUGUUUGAUCACAUGACGCAUUCAUGACAGUAACAUGAUUCUCUAGAUUAGGUGAUGCGCUCAAAUCAAUAGGUAACUCAACACAUGAUGUAUUCAAGUUAACUAGGCAUGCAUCAUUCUCAUGUGAAGUUAUAUCAUCAAUACCUUUACAGUUACCUUGUCGUAAAGAUGUAGCUGAUGUAGGUACGGAUGAUGGCAAUGUACCAUACUCUUGAGAUGAUGUCGCGCUCACAAUCUGAGGUGUGGCUGCUCUAGUAGGUGCGACGGUGGAGGAGCCAAGCGGUGGUGGUGAGCAUGAACUAGAAUAGUAGUUGUUGUAGUCAUCCAAUGCAUCCUCCUGUAACUGUCUCUCAAAGGUACAAGCACGAACAUACAUACCAGAUACUGAAAUCGUGCCUGAAUAUCAUGGUUCAAACCACCAAAAAAUCUAUUCAUUGUAUCAUCCUCAGAUUCUUCUAUGUCACAAUGAUGCAUAUAAGAUUUGAACUCUUGGUAGUAAGCAUGAACAGUGUCGUUGCCUUGUUUAAAUUGUUCAAAUUUGCAAAGCAAUUCACGACGAUAGUAAGGAGGGAAAAAUUAUUGUCUCAUUACCUCUUUCAAAUCUUUCCAAGUUGUGAGUUGGUUAUCAAUGUUUUUCUUACAAUGCACACUCCACCAAACAGAAGCAAAACCAGUAAAUGCUCUAGUGGCAGCUCGUACUCGCUCAAGUUCAGAAAAGUCAUGGUGACUAAAAACUUGUUCUACUUCAACCUCCCAAGCUAGAUAAAUAGCAGGAUUAAAUCUACCCUCAAAUGACGGUAAAGAGAUAACCUGACCAUGUACUUGUGUGUGUUGUCCCAACUCUUGUGAUGGUGAUGAUGUGUCCGUCGUCCAAGAACUUCUAUCUCCGGAACCUGUCAUGAUUAGUAGAAACAAGAAACAAAAUUCGAGAAUAAUGUUCUGAUGAACUACUAGGAUGUGGUUGCAAAGUGCUCACAGUAAAGAAAAUAUCAAUAUCUUGCUCGUUCUUCGAUUGCUUGCAGGAAUAUACCUUCGUGGUCAGGUUGAUCGUGCUCCGGCGAGGUCAAUAACCUCUCGAAGUUGGUUUAGCGAUUGCUAAGGUGCAACGUCGUGCACGUUUGUAGUCGGAUCGUCAAAGUCGACUCCACCAAAUCGAUAGUUAUCAUCUAAUCGAAAGAUCAGGGCACCCUCGCCUCUAUCAAGUGGUAUCAGUUUUCAGGUUGCUCGGUGAGAAUUUCCAGUUUCCCCUAGAUUAGAUUUAUUUUCUUAUCUAUUGUCCAAGAAAAAGCCACAAAAAAGUUAGAUCUAUUCAUCCUUUUGUCCAAGCCAGUCUGAGCCUUUGCAAUUUUCUUUUCAUUGUUUGCAUUAUUGAAUUAUCGGUUGCAUCGUCGUGUCGAAUUGCUGGUCUUAGGGUCUAGUUCGUUUAGAGUUUCGAGUUCUGUUCACAUUAGUCACGUCGCCGCUGCAUCGUUAUCCCUUCCGCUGUCCACCACACCAUCCAUCAAUUUCCACCACGUGCUACCCAUAGUUCAUUGUCACAAUCAUAGUUGAUGUCGUUCACAUCUUCGCUUGAUCCAAUCUGCAUCUUAUCUAGUUUGUCUUAGAGGGAGAGAAAAAAAGACAGAGAAAAAAAGAGAGAAAAAAAGAAAAAGAAGUCGGAGAAAAAAAAGAGAGAAAGAAAAAGAAAAAAAAAGUGUGAGGAAAAAAAGAGAGAAAAAACAACAAAAUUGUGUGAAGUAUCCAAUAUGCAUGCAUGCAAUAUUUUUGGUAGUAUCCAAGGUAGUCAUGACCUCAUCAACAGGACAAGACACAUUUAAUGCGUAGCUUAGGUGUCCCCUUGCUUUAUUGGGGACGGGGGCGAGGCUCGUCCCGUCCGUCGCCGCUCCUCCAUGCUUUGACACGUGCCCUGGCCAGUGAGGCACAUGGUGCCAUGUAGGCAGGCAGGCAGCUGAGGUGGCGCAGUGCCGGAGCCUUCACGAAGAUCUGCAUGCCGCCACGCAGGCGCUCGAUGAGUUGGCCUGGGAGCUGCAUGUUGUCACGCAGGUGCCCGCCCAGCUGGUUGGGCUGGCAGCUGCAUGUGAACGGCGGUGGAAGCUUGGUUGGCGUGGGCCUGGCGGUGGCCCUGCUGGCGUCCGUGGUGAGGGCCUUGCCGUGUGGCCCGGCAAGGGUCUUGCCGUGGCGCGCUAUCGUCCCCAGCGAGGGCCUUGCCGAGGGUCUGGUGGCCUUCCUCGGCAAGGAUCUUGCCGAGGAUCGUCGUCUUCUAAUUCUCAUCUGAUCUUGAAUAUGUCUUCACAAAGAUCUGCAUGCCACUACGGAGGUGCCUCCCGAGCCCUGGCCCAACGUGAUGUUGGAGAUCGUGGGCUCAAGGGUGGCCCGCUCUGUUGGUGCAGGGCGAGCUGUUCCGGCAAGGAUCUUGUCGGGGCUGCUGAGGCUGCCCCGGCAAGGGUCUUGCCGGGGGAACCUGCUUCAUCCCUCUGCUCUUUGUGGUCUUGGCCUUGACGUUGCUCUUAUUAUCUUGGGCUUUGGUCUUACCUUGGCUCACCUCCCCUGUUCUGCUUGGCGUGACCGUAGGCGCGGCUCCGACUGCCCGUGCACAGAUAUAGGGGUACAAAAACGCACCCCUUUUUUUGGACACCGACAGAAGCCCCCGGGCCUGGGCCACACAUAAGCGCGAUACGUUGUUGGGCCAGGCCCAAAACGUGCGCGGGCAGGCGGGGCGGUUUUUACCGCGGUAAAACUUUUCGCGCGUUGCGCUUCCAACGGCCCGCGCGGCGUGGAGGGGUGUGCGUGACGUGGGCGCCAUGCGUGGGACGGUUUCCACACGCAUGCGUCACAUCGCAGUAAAAAGGCGGCUCGCGCCUUCCCCGUAAAAAGAGGGAGGCGUGGAGGCGUGCUACCUCUUGAGCACUGCGUUGCUUUUCCCUUGAAGAGGAAAGGGUGAUGCAGCAAAGUAGCGUAAGUAUUUCCCUCAGUUUUUGAGAACUAAGGUAUCAAUACAGUAGGAGGCUACGCGCGAGUCCCUCGCACCUGCACAAUACAAAUAAAUCCUCGCAACCAACGCGACAAGGGGUUGUCAAUCCCUUCACGGUCACUUACGAGAGUGAGAUCUGAUAGAUAUGAUAGGGUAAUAUUUUUGGUAUUUUUAUGAUAAAGAUGCAAAGUAAAAUAAAAGCAAAGGCAAUAACAAAGUGUUGGAAGAUUAAUAUGAUGAAGAUAGACCCGGGGGUCAUAGGUUUCACUAGUGGCUUCUUUCAAAAGCAUAAGUAUUUUACGGUGGGUGAACGAAUUACUGUUGAGCAAUUGACAGAAUUGAGCAUAGUUAUGAGAAUAUCUAAGUAUGAUCAUGUAUAUAGGCAUCACGUCCGAGACAAGUAGACCGACUCCUGCCUGCAUCUACUACUAUUACUCCACUCAUCGACCGCUAUCCAGCAUGCAUCUAGAGUAUUAAGUUCAUAAGAACAGAGUAACGCCUUAAGCAAGAUGACAUGAUGUAGAGGGAUAAAUUCAUGCAAUAUGAUAAAAACCCCAUCUUGUUAUCCUCGAUGGCAACAAUACAAUACGUGCCUUGCUGCCCCUACUGUCACUGGGAAAGGACACCGCAAGAUUGAACCCAAAGCUAAGCACUUCUCCCAUUGCAAGAAAGAUCAAUCUAGUAGGCCAAACCAAACUGAUAAUUCGAAGAGACUUGCAAAGAUAACCAAUCAUACAUAAAAGAAUUCAGAGAAGAUUCAAAUAUUGUUCAUAGAUAAUCUUGAUCAUAAACCCACAAUUCAUCGGUCUCAACAAACACACCACAAAAAGAAGAUUACAUCGAAUAGAUCUCCACGAGAGAGGGGGAGAACAUUGUAUUGAGAUCCAAAAAGAGAAAAGAAGCCAUCUAGCUACUAACUAUGGACCCAAAGGUCUGAGGUAAACUAUUCACACUUCAUCGGAGAGGCUAUGGUGUUGAUGUAGAAGCCCUCCGUGAUGGAUGCCCCCUCCGGCGGAGCUCCGGAACAGGCCCCAAGAUGGGAUCUCAUGGGUACAGAAGGUUGCGGUGGUGGAAUUAGGUUUUUGGCUCCGUAUCUGAUCGUUUGGGGUACGUAGGUAUAUAUAGGAGGAAGAAGUACGUCGGUGGAGCAACGUGGGGCCCACGAAGGUGGAGGGCGCGCCCUGGGGUGGGGGGGUGGGCGCGCCCCCUACCUCGUGGCCUCCUGGAAGCUUCUCUGACGUAAGGUCCAAGUCUCCUGGAUCAUGUUCGUUCCAAAAAUCACGCUCCCGAAGGUUUCAUUCCGUUUGGACUCCGUUUGAUAUUUUUUUCCCGCGAAACUAUGAAAUAGGCAAAAAAAAAUAGCAAUUCUGGGCUGGGCCUCCGGUUAAUAGGUUAGUCCCAAAAAUAAUAUAAAAAUGGAUGAUAAAGCCCAAUAUUGUCCAAAACAGUAGAUAAUAUAGCAUGGAGCAAUCAAAAAUUAUAGAUACGUUGGAGACGUAUCAAGGCGCGACUCAUUUAUUGAACGGGGCCAGGGCGCGGUCUUCAAGGCAUCCACUCCCCACGAUCACGGGGUGGGGAGAGGUUGCUUCGCCCGUCCCCUCGGUUCUGCAUGUAUGCCACGCGUCCUCCAUGCACCUAGGGUGGCAAGCGGUGGAGGCGGGAAACCGGGCCGUCGCUGGUUGGGGCAGCGGGUCGGUCCUGAUUCCCCGUGGCUUUGGUGGCUGGAUUGGCCGAGUGAGGCGGCCGAGCCCCGUCCCCGCCUCCUUAUAAAGAGGGGGAAGGGGGGAUGGCAUCCCACACUCUUCCGUCAUCUAUCUCCACUCGCUUCUACUUCUUCCUUUCACUCGCCAUGGAGAAAGGGAAUCAUGGUCCCUCAACGGUGGCGGCGAGGGUCGCCGCCCGACAGCACGUCCCUCCUCCUCCUGAGCCCGCGGUGGUGGAACCGGCCGCGUGGGGAAGGGGGAGGGGGCGAGGUCGUCGGCGAGGCCGGGGCAGAGGUCGUAGUGCUCGGGGAAGAGGAGGACGGGGCGGCGCACCGGCUUCACCCCCGCCAAUGAUGCCUUUUCCAAUGGAAGGCCAUGUUGGAGACCAGCCCCGUGAAUUUUUCAUCAGGCUGCGCUGGCCUUCGCGUCGCCGUCUUCGUCUUCCCGCCCCGUUCGCUCGGGAGAUGGAGUGUGACCCGCCCCAGUCCCUCAGAUUGCACAUGAGGGGUUGUGGGAAUGGGGGCACGCGGGUCGACGUCGACUUCCCGGCUCCCCGGGUCAUGUACCUCCGUCAUGGGUGGAAGACGUUCGCUCGCAUCCACAGCCUAACGGCGGGGCUCGUCCUCUACUUCAAAUUAAUGGAGGACGACCUGCUCUCCGUCAAGGUCUUCGGCGACUUCGGGACUCGCCUGAAGUGCUGCGUGGAGAGCUCCUCCGAUGGAGAUUCCGACGAUGGAAGCUCUACCUCGAGCGAAAGUGAUGAGGAGGACAACGGGGCAGACGGCGGGGACGAGUCCGACUAGGCGUCGGACGCCUGGUGCCUGGGCGGGUGCGGCAGCAGCAACAUCUGCACUUGGCCGCUCCUCCGGCAGAGUUUUGCCGGGGGUGGGGCCAGCUCCUUGAACUUCUCGGGGCCGUCUCCUUGGGCGGCUGGCGUCGAGAGGCUGCGGAAGAGGAAGAGGGCGGGCGGCAACGCCGUUAACUCGGAGUACGCGGGCACCGACGCCUUCGUGGCGUACUGCCGGUCCUGCCGCCUCGUCUUCCAGCUCCUUUCCCGGCACCGUCAUCACCGGCCCGCCCCUGGGCGGUCACCAAGGUGUUCUCUUGGUGCUUUCUGCCGCUCGUAGCUCGCCUAGGCGCCCCUUUUGCCCUUUCGCCUCAUUGACCUGCCUCCUGAGGAGAGGGACAAGAAAGGGAUUACGGGCAUCUUAUCCUUCUUCUUUAGUUUGUAAGCCUGCGGGCCUUUGUUAAAUUUAGAACUUGUAAUCCCCUUGCUCAUGUUUUUCAUUUCGUACGAACUGUACCUGUAUGGGAUGUUUUUAAUGAAAAAGGGAUGCUUGCCGGGUUUUUCGUUCGUGGGUAAACCCCGCGACAAGGAGCGAAUCCUUGUUAUUGUUUAAGAUAAACGUUUUUCGCCCGGCAACAGGCCUUGCCGCCCCCCACUCCACUCGACCGUUCUCGCGCUCUUGGCGGAGGCAGGGAUGAAGUGGGCUUUAGGCUCCUCGUUCUACCUCCUUGCCGCCGCGGCUACAACCAAAUCCGGACCUAGGAAAUAAUCCUUAGGUAUAGGAAAAAGGGGAGCACGACAGCCUAGAGAUAAAAACGAGGUUUCACAUGCCCCAGUCCUGUUCUGAAAUGCAUGACAGAGGAUAAAAGACUUAUCUGGAUCUGCAGCCCCCAGCAAUCUCAUCUUGCCGCGGUUGGAACCUUGUGCUUGCAGCCCCCGGCAACUCUGGUUUACCGGGGUCGGGACGCCGGUCCGUUUUCUUUCUUCCAAGUAGCUCGACAGAAGUGCUCAUGUGCCCUGCGAACCAAAGGAGGACGGAAGAGAAACAGAUAGACGCGCAUUCGACCUCUAAGCUAGGGGUUAGUCGCUGCUGAGCACUAUCAACCCUAACCAAGGAAGAGACUCGACCUAGCAUGCAUGCUAUGACUGAGGGCGCCAGCGCUUCAUUUAUUUAUGCUCAGGGUCUGUGCCUGGCUUUGUACGAAGGGUUACAUGCCUUGCCGGCAAAGCUUGUACAAAAGGUGGCUUGCCGGGAGGCCCAGCAAGCCGCGCCUUAUGGGUAAAACUUGCGAAGAUGCUCGAUGUUCCAGGAGUUCCUCACUGGGAUGGCAUCUUCGGUCUCCAGGUGGACUGCGCCGGGCCUGGUGACUCGUAUUACCCGAUAAGGGCCUUCCCACUUCGGCGUCAACUUGUUGGCAUUCUCGGCCGACUGAACGCGCCGAAAAACAAGGUCGCCUUCCUCAAAGCUUCGGGCAUGAACCUUGCGGCUAUGGUAGCAGCGCAAGGCUUGCUGGUAGCGCGCUGCUCUCACAGCCGCCCGAAGACGAUCUUCCUCAAGGAGCGUCGCAUCAUCUUGGCGCAACUGCUCUUGCUCAAGCUCAUCAUAAGCGAGCACUCGAGGUGACCCGUAUAUGAGUUCCGUGGGGAGAACUACUUCUGCCCCGUAGACCAGGGCAAAAGUUGUCUGGCUGGUGGCUCGAUUUGGCGUCGUCCUGAUCGACCAAAUAACCGCCGGCAAUUCAUCAAUCCAGCGCCUUCCGCUCUUGCGCAGCUUGUCAAAAGUCUUUGUCCUUAGGCCUCGCAACACUUCAGCAUUCGCCCUCUCCGCUUGGCCGUUGCUCCGUGGGUGUGCCACGGAAGCAAAACAGACCUUGCUGCCGAGGUCUUGAAUGUAUUGCAUGAAGGUGUGGCUCGUGAACUGCGUGCCGUUGUCGGUGAUGACUCUAUUUGGCACACCAAAACGGCAGACCAGUCCUUUAAAAACUUGACAGCUGACUGAGCAGUCACCUUUCUCACUGCUUCCACCUCCGGCCACUUUGUGAACUUGUCGAUUGUAACGUACAAGUAUUCAAAGCCCCCGACAGCGCGGGGGAAAGGGCCCAGUAUGUCGAGCCCCCAGACCGAGAAUGGCCAGGAGAGAGGGAUUGUUUGAAGGGCUUGGGCUGGUUGAUGAAGCUUCUUUGAAUGAAACUGACACGCUUCUGUAACGCCCCGGAUCCGAUGCGCCAGGUGUCACACAGUUAUUCGCUGUCGUUGCCAUGUCAUUUGCUUGCGUGUUGCAUUUUGCCAUGUCAUCAUAUGCAUUUCAUAUCAUGUCAUCAUGUGCUUCGCAUUUGCAUACGUGUUCGUCUCAUGCAUCCGAGCAUUUUCCCCGUUGUCCGUUUUGCAAUCCGGCACUCCUAUGUCACCCGGCGCCCCCUUUUGUCUUCUUCUCGUGUGCGGAUGUUAAACAUUUUCGGAAUGGACCGAGUCUUUUCAAGUGGCCUUGGUAUACCACCGGUAGACCACCGGUCAAGUUUCGUUCCAUUUGGAGGUCGUUUGGUACUCCAACGGUUAACCGGGUAACCGCAAAGUCCGUUUUGGUAUUGCAGCAAACCCCCCUUUCAAACAGCCACAAAACCCCUCUAAGUCCCUGUCAUGCUCUCGGUCGUUCGAUCACGAUCGCGUGGGCGAAAACCGCACCCCGUUUGGACUCUCCUAACUCCCUCUACCUAUAUAAACACCCCCUCCCCGAAAUUUCGGAUCAAUUCCACCCUAACCCUAAUAUUUUUCCCUCCGCGCCGCCGGACGUUUCGUCCUCCGCAGCCGGACAUGUCCAUUUCGCCGCCGCCGCCGCCCGCGGCCAAUCGGCACGCGCCACCUGUCCNNNNNNNNNNNNNNNNNNNNNNNNNNNNNNNNNNNNNNNNNNNNNNNNNNNNNNNNNNNNNNNNNNNNNNNNNNNNNNNNNNNNNNNNNNNNNNNNNNNNNNNNNNNNNNNNNNNNNNNNNNNNNNNNNNNNNNNNNNNNNNNNNNNNNNNNNNNNNNNNNNNNNNNNNNNNNNNNNNNNNNNNNNNNNNNNNNNNNNNNNNNNNNNNNNNNNNNNNNNNNNNNNNNNNNNNNNNNNNNNNNNNNNNNNNNNNNNNNNNNNNNNNNNNNNNNNNNNNNNNNNNNNNNNNNNNNNNNNNNNNNNNNNNNNNNNNNNNNNNNNNNNNNNNNNNNNNNNNNNNNNNNNNNNNNNNNNNNNNNNNNNNNNNNNNNNNNNNNNNNNNNNNNNNNNNNNNNNNNNNNNNNNNNNNNNNNNNNNNNNNNNNNNNNNNNNNNNNNNNNNNNNNNNNNNNNNNNNNNNNNNNNNNNNNNNNNNNNNNNNNNNNNNNNNNNNNNNNNNNNNNNNNNNNNNNNNNNNNNNNNNNNCGACCCCGCCGCCGGCGCCCGCGCUGCCGCCGGCCAUCGCCCCGCCGUCGCCUGGCCUGGCCUCCCCUCCACUCCGGCCGCCGCCGAUCGACUCCGGCGAGCCGGCGCCCGAUCCAGAACGAGCCCGCGUUGACUUCGUUCCCCCCCUCGAGGUCGUUAUUUUUCUAAGUCCCCAGUUCUUAUUAAUAUGUGCACAUGUUCAACUGUGUGUAACUUCAUGCAUGUAGCUCCGAUUCGCGCGUAUAAUAUGUCGAAUUGUUCGUCCCGUGAUGCUCUACAUUUUGUUCAAUUGCACCAUGUUCAUUAGAGGUCAUCUUGAUGCCUUAAUCAUCGUUGCAAGAGGGCUAGUUGCUGUUAUCUGCUGAUUCUUAUCAGAACUUGGAGAUUUGUCAUUUUUGUAUCAUUUAAUCUGUGCAUCUUUUGGGCAUGACCUCUACAUGUGUUUUGAAGUAUGCCAUGCCAUCUUUCCAGUGGUGUAGUCCAUGUAUUUGUGUGAUCUCUGUGGUGACUAGCACAAGCACGCAAAGUAGGCCCCGUAAUAUUUCUGAUUUCAGGGACUUAGUGAUUUCUCUAAGUCCUUGUCUGCUGUAAUUUUGUUGCCUUGUUAACUUGAUGCUACAGAGAGAUCCAUGCAUAUUUUGGAGAUGUUCAGUAAGGAUGUUUUGUAGAUAUUGUUAUAAUUGAUCCAUUACUGCCCUUGUUUGCAAUUAUGGUGUGCCAUAGCAUGUCUCAAUCUUGCUCUACUUUUGCUAUAAAAUAUUUCUGGCAGAUUCUUAACAUGAUAUGCAAUCUUGCCAAGCUUAUUGUAAUUGAUCCAUACAUGCUAUGAUUAUACUCUUGCCAUGGUUAGCUUCAUAAACAUGCCAUCUUGCUGUAGAUAUACUUAGGUUAUCAUUCAUUGCUCUGUAGUGAGUGCAUCAAGCUCACAAAGAGGCCUACAUAUUAUAGUUUCUGCCAUGCUCUGUUUUUUGCCAAGUCUGAAACCAGAUAACGAAACUUGCUAUGUUCACAUGCUUGCCAUCAUAUCUUCUGGUCCUUUUUCGCUUAUGGUCAGUAAGGGACUUUUGUUAUAUGCUUUGAGUAGAUUCAUGCCAUGCCUUUCUUUGCUAUGUUAAGUCCCUGUAGCAUGUUGAUUUCGUGCUCUGAACAUUGCUACCUGAUGCUGUUUCUGUCAUGUCCAGUAAUUCUGCCAAGUCUGUGAACCUGUUAUUAUUUGCAAUCUUGCCAUGUCCUUUUGAGCAUUUUCUAUUGAUUUCUGGAGAUAGCUCAGUGUUCAUGUUUUGUUGUGCUUUACCUGUACAUCAUGUCCUUGUCUUUUGUUUUCAUGUUGAGUUGCUGUAGCAUAUUGUUUUGAUGCUUGCCAUAUGCCUAGUUGCUGUUUUGGACAGAUUGUUGCUAUGUCUUGUUUGGAGUGUAUGUGUUGCACCGUUGCUCCGUUUUGAGCAUGCUCUAUAUGAAACUUGCUUAGUUUUGCAUGUAGUCUCAUAUUAUCAUGUUGCAUCCUUGUGUUGAGGUGUGUGCUUGAUGUUUGUAUGCAUUUUGCACCAAUGCCAUGCUCAUCUUGUCUUGCUCAUAUCUUCUAGGCCGUAGCUCCGAAUCUAAUGAACUUUAUAUGUAACUUGACUAGAAUUUCGUGUAGAUCAUCAUGGUGCUCUUUAACUUGCUGUUUAACAACUUUAACUUAAUGCUUGUUCAGUUCUGGACCAAUUUUGAAAUUUGCAUAUGAGGACUUACCGGAAUUGUUAUGUGUUGUUUCCGGCCUCAUUUAAACUUGCCUUGAUGUGUUGCUCUUGUAUGCAUCCUUUCUUGCCGUGUGUAGCCUCAUAUUGCCUUGUCAUGCAUCAUUCUUGAUUGAGCAUCAUGCCUUGUUCAUGUGUGGUGUGUUUACCUUGUUGUGUGUUUCUUCUCGAUAGCUCCUGUGUCGUUGCGAUCGUGAGGAUUCGUUCGUCUUCGUGGCUUCAUCUUCUUCAUGGAUUCGUUCUUCUUCCUAGCGGGAUUUCAGGCAAGAUGACCGUCACCUUGGAUCUCAUUACUAUCAUUGCUAUGCUAGUUGCUUCGCUCUAUCGCUUUGUUGCGCUACCUAUUCACUUGUUCCUCAAGCCUCCCAUUUUGCCAUGAACCUCUAACCUUUGUCACCCUUCCUAGCAAACCAUUGUUUGGCUAUGUUACCGCUUUGCUCAGCCCCUCUUAUAGCGUUGCUAGCUGCAGGUGAAGAUGAAGAUUGCUCCAUGUUGGAUUAUGUUUAUGUUGGGAUAUCACAAUAUCUCUUAUAUUAUUAAUGCAUCUAUAUAUUUGGUAAAGGGUGGAAGGCUCGGCCUUAUGCCUGGUGUUUUGUUCCACUCUUGCUGCCCUAGUUUCCGUCAUACCGGUGUUAUGUUCCCGGAUUUUGCGUUCCUUACACGGUUGGGUGAUUUAUGGGACCCCCUUGACAGUUCGCCUUGAAUAAAACUCUUCCAGCAAGGCCCAACCUUGGUUUUACCAUUUGUCCAGCCUAUUUCUUUUCCCUAGGGAGUCGCUCUCUCGAGGGUCAUCUUAUUUUAACCCCCCCGGGCCAGUGCUUCUCUAAGUGUUGGUCGAACUGAGUAGACUGCGGGGCCACCUCGUGGAAACUCGAGGUCUGGUUUUACUCGUAGGAUGUCUCAUCCGAUGUUGCCCUGAGAACGAGAUAUGUGCAGCUCCUAUCGGGAUGUCGGCGCAUCGGGCGGCUUUGCUGGUUUUGUUUUACCAUUGUUGAAAUGUCUUGUAACCGGGAUUCCGAGACUGAUCGGGUCUUCCCGGGAGAAGGAAUAUCCUUCGUUGACCGUGAGAGCUUAUCAUGGGCUAAGUUGGGACACCCCUGCAGGGUAUUAUCUUUCGAAAGCCGUGCCCGCGGUUAUGUGGCAGAUGGGAAUUUGAUAAUAUCCGGUUGUAGAGAACCUGACACUUGACCUUAAUUAAAACGCAUCAACCGCGUGUGUAGCCGUGAUGGUCUCUUCUCGGCGGAGUCCGGGAAGUGAACACGGUUUCUGGGUUAUGUUUGACGUAAGUAGGAGUUCAGGAUCACCUCUUGAUCAUUGCUAGUUUCACGACCGUUCCUUUGCUUUCUCUUCUCGCUCUUAUUUGCGUAAGAUAGCCACCAUACAUUGCUUAGUCGCUGCUGCAACCUCACCACCUUAUCCUUUCCUUUCCCUUUAAGCUUUGCUAGUCUUGAUACCCAUAAUAAUGGGAUUGCUGAGUCCUCGUGGCUCACAGUUUACUACACCACCAGUUGCAGGUACAGGUUGUGCGAUGAUCAUGACGCGAGAGCGAUGUGUACUUGUUUUGGAGUUCUUCUUCUGCUUCUUCUUCGCUCAGGGGAUAGGUUCCAGGUCGGCAGCCUGGGCUAGCAGGGUGGAUGUCGUUUGAGUCUCUGUUUAUGUUUCAUCCGUAGUCGGAUGUUGAGCUUAUGUAUGAUGUAUUGAUGUAUCCUUGCGGCAUUUGUAUGCCUUGUAUGUAUCCCCAUAUAUUUUGUAAUGUCGAUGUAAUGAUAUCCACCUUGCAAAAGCGUUUCAAUAUGCGGGUCUAUCCUUGGUGGGACCUUCGAGUUCCUGUAGGAUAGGGUCGCAUAUUGGGCGUGACAGCUUCACACUUGGUUACUAGUGCCGUCGCAUCCUGGAGGGCGGUGGGCCAGAAAAAACCUUGUCGGAACGCCUUCCCGGCAAGGGCCCUUGACCCUAUGUGGGAGCCACAUAUGCCUCCAUGUAUCUCCGCCAACAGCUCCAGUCCUUCUAACUGGGGGAUGCACUUCAAUUUCAUGCCAUUCGGCCUUCUCCUGUACAGGACAUCAUCGACGAACUGGUACAGGGCGGACCGACGGGCUACUUUCUCCGCUUCUUCCUGCUCCUCAGGAAGCUCCCCUGUUUGGAGGAAUCGAACGGUAUGCUGCGCCCAUGCCGGAGCCCGGGCUCGACGACAAGGACCAAAGGCAUUUCUUCCGCCAUGGGAGCGGCUGUCUCUACGGCUAGGGCUUGACGCCCUGCCGGAGGUAGCUACUCUUGGGCAGGCUCGGCGUCCGUGGCGGCACCCUUGCCGGCAGCCCCAGAGGGUUCGGUAGGAAAGUACUUGCCGGGACCCGACUUCCUUCGCUUGUUCUGCCCCGUUGAUGGUUUGACGGAUGGUUGAGUUAGCUGGAGCAAAAAGGUACCUGGUUCCACAGGUAGCUUGAAUGCGGCACACUUUGACAGGUAAUCGGCGGUGUCGUUCUCCAUUCGGGGGACGUGCUCCGCUAGGAUACCGUCAAAGCGCUCCUCCAGCUUCCUCACUUCAUCUACGUAGGCUUCCAUCAAUGGGCUUUGGUAAUCCUUAUUGACCUGCCUGACAACAAGCUGCGAGUCACCCCUGACGAUGAGCUUCUUAACCCCGAGGUCUGCCGCGAUCCUGAGACCGGCAAGCAAUCCCUCGUACUCAGCAGUGUUGUUGGUGGACAUCUCUCGGGGAAAGUGCAUCUGGAUCACGUACUUGAGGUGCUCCCCGGUAGGUGCGACGAGUAGCACACCGGCAUCGGCGCCUUGCAGCGAGAAAGCCCCAUCAAAGUACAUGAUCCAGUCGCGAUCUUCCUCCUUGCCGGGGAGUGUGGUCUCCUGGAUUUCUUCGUCAGGUGUUGAGGUCCAUUCUGCAAUGAACUCCGCCAAGACUCUGCUCUGAAUUGUCGAGGUACUUUCAAACUUCAAACCGAAACUUGACAACUCUAAGGCCCACUCCACAAUCCUCCCGGUUGCAUCCGGGUUAUGCAGUAUCCGUUGCAAAGGGAGGCGGGUGACGACAGUGAUCUCGUGGGCUUGGAAGUAAUGACGCAGCUUCCUCGAGGCCAUAAGAAGGCCGAAGAGCAAUUUCUGCACACCGGAGUACCUCGAUCUAGCCCCCUGCAAGAGGGAGCUGACAAAGUAAACCGGGUGCUGCAUCAUCUUCUUCUUCUGCACCACCCCACUUGACUGCGCGGGCACUGCCUCGGUGGCAUCAGACUCUGCCGGGGGCCUCGCCUUGCCGGCACCAGGCCCUGCCGGGGGAAUCUUGGGCUUGCCAUCCGCUGGUUCUGCCGCCGUCACUGCCUCCUCGUUGACCUCCCUCUGUGCCACUAGCGCGGUGCUGACCACUUGAUUUGUCGCCGCCAGAUACAGCAGCAACGGCUCUUGUGGUUUAGGCGCAACCAGUAUUGGCGUGGAGGAAAGGUAUUUCUUCAGAUCCUGCAAUGCUUCCUCGGCUUCUGGGGUCCAUUCCAUUGGGCCUGCCUUCUUCAAGAUUUUGAAGAAAGGAAGGGCGCGCUCGGCGGACUUGGAGAUGAAUCGGCUCAUGGCGGCAACGUAGCCGGUGAGCCGACGCACAUCCUUGAUCCGCUUGGGCGCCUCAAUCUGCUCAAUAGCCUUGAUUUUGUCUGGGUUUGCCUCGAUUCCGCGCUGCGAUACAAAGAACCCGAGAAGCUUGCCGGAUGGAACGCUGAAGACACACUUCUCAGGGUUCAGCUUGAGGUUGAUCUUGCGCAGGUUGGCAAAUGUCUCUUCCAGAUCUUCCACAAGAGUUGGCCCGUCCUUGGUUUUGACUACUAUGUCAUCCAUGUAGGCCUCCAUAUUUCUAUGGAGCUGAGGUUCAAAACCAAUUUGGACUGCUCUUGCAAAUGUUGAGCCAGCGCUCUUCAACCGAAAGGCAUCCGUAAAAAGCAAUACGUACCACAUGGGGUGAUGAACGCUGUCUUUUCUUCAUCCUCUCUUGUCAUGAAGAUAUGGUGGUAGCCCGAGUAGGCGUCGAGGAAUGACAACAGAUCACACCCGGCCGUGGAGUCAACAAUCUGGUCGAUGCGCGGCAACGGGAAGGGGUCCUUAGGACAAGCCUUAUUGAUAUCUGUGUAAUCAAUACACAACCUCCACUUCCCAUUCGCCUUGCGCACCACUACCGGAUUGGCCAACCACAUCGGGUGGAGCACUCCCCUCACCAAACCUGCCGCUUCCAACUUCCUGAUCUCCUCCGUGAUGAACUCCUGCCUCUCCAGAGCCUGCUUUCUGACCUUCUGCUGGAUGGGCCGCGCAUGGGGGCUGACAACUAGGUGGUGCUCAAUCACCUCCCUGGGAACAACGGGGAUGUCGGAUGCUUUCCAUGCAAACACGUCGACAUUCGACCGCAGGAAGGUGACGAGCGCGCCUUCCUAUUUGCUACCGAGGGUGGAGCCUAUGGUGAAGGCCCCUCCCGUGCCAUCCUCCCUGGUGGACACCUUCUUGGUUUGCGGCGGCUCGGCUCUAGAUCUCUUGCUCUUGUCGGUAGAGCUCUCUGGCACGGCCUCGACGGCAGCACAACACUCCGAAGAGGUGCGCUUGCCGGAGUGGGUGCGAGAGGUCUUGCCGGGCUUCUUCCUCCCUCCCGGGGCUUCAGCGGCAGGAGCAGGUGCCUUGGCGGCAGCUGCUGCAACUGCCUCCCGGUAGAGUUGGUCGGCGCAAAUCAGCGCGUCCUUCUUGUCGGAGGGGACGGAGAUGAUGGUCAACGGCCCGAGCAUCUUUAGCAUGUUGUAGGCGUAGUGUGACGCCGCCAUAAACUUGGCUAGUGCCGGGCGGCCGAGGAUCCCGCUGUAGGGCAAGGGGAUCUCGGCCACGUCGAAGACGAUCCUCUCCGUCCUGUAGUUCAACUCUCCUCCAAAUGUCACGGGCAGUGUGACCUUUCCCUUCGGCUGGCUCCUCCCCGGAUUGACCCCUUGAAACGUGCCCGUUUCCUCGAGGUCUCCAUCAGGGAUUUGCAACCUUUUGAUCACGACAGGCGAGAUCAGGUUUAGGCCGGCCCCGCCGUCAACCAACAUCUUGUUCACCCUGAAGUUGCGUAUUGUUGGUGAGACCAACAAUGGCAAACACCCGACCGCGGUAGUGCGGUCAGGGUGGUCUUCGGCGUCAAAGAUGAGGGGCGUGCUGGACCACUUCAGCGGCUUCUGAGCGUCGAACGACGGCUCUUCUGCUGUAAUCUCACGCGCCCACUGCUUGAGCUAGCGGUGAGAGGUAUGCAGCGAGGCGCCGCCAUCGACGCACAUGGCCUCCGUAGCCUUCUGGAACCCUUGCUCACCAGACUCGUCGUCCUUGUCGUGAUCAUCGUCUUCUUGUUUCUUGUCGCGGCCCCGGGCGGGCCUCUCUUGCUGGUUGUCCUUGCCGGGGUAGCCUCCUUGGCCGCCACGCUUCUUGCCGGAUCCCUCAGCACCGUCCUGGUCCUUCUCCUUGUCCCGCCUCUCGUACUCAGCCUUUUGCUUCUUAGGAAGCAGCUCGACUUGUCGGCAGUUCUGGAGGUCGUGGCCCUUGGUGCGGUGGAUCUUGCAGUAUUGCUUGCCGGAGCUCCCUGGCUUGUCGGUAGCUGCCAAGGCCCGGCAGGCGGCGCACCAGGCAAUCUCCUUGUCGGGAGCGCCUGCCUUGACCUUCUUGCCGGCACCGGUGUCGCCAGAUCCCUCAACGGCAAGCACGGCCUUACCCUUGCGUUUCCUGUUGUGACGCCGGCCCUUCUUCGUCGGGGUAGCGGCGUCCUCAUCGGUAGAGUCGGUUUCCGCGCCGGCGUCUUCGCCGGGGUACUUCCUUCCCUCUUCAGCCCGGGCGCAUCUAUCGGCCAGAACGUAGAGCUCGGCCACAUCCUUAAUCUUGGUCAUCGCCAGCUCCUCGCGCAUCUUGCGAUUGCGCACGUUCUGGUGGAAUGCGCUAAUCACAGCGGCAGGAUGAACGUCGGGGAUGUUGUACUGCACCCGGCUGAAUCUCUGGAUGUACUUGCGCAGGGUCUCCCCUUCCUUCUGGGGAAUGAUAUGCAGAUCACUGGCCUGGCCAUGAGCUUGGUGGCCUCCUGUGAAGGCGCCAACGAACUCAUGGCAUAGAUCCGACCAAGAAGAAAUGGAAUCCACCGGCAAGUGCAUCAACCAAGACAUCACAUUGGGCUUGAGCGCCAGCGGGAAAUAGUUGGCAAGCACCUUGUCGUUGCGAGCCCCAGCCUGCAUCGCGAUGGUGUAGAUGCUGAGGAACUCAGACGGAUGGGUCUUGCCAGUGUACUUCUCGCCGACGUCGGGCUUGAACGUGCGGUGGGACGACCACUGGAACUGCUGCAGCUCACGGGUAAAGGCCGGGCAGCCCACCUCGUAAGGUAGGCCGCCGGAGCCCCCCGGUGCCGGGUGGUCCAUAGCGGGUCCCGCCCGCUUGUCCGACUGGCGGCGCGUUUCGCGCCGGCGCUCGACGGUGGUUCGAGCGUCUUUGUGAGCUCGUUCCCGAAGGACCUGGCGCUGGUCGCGGAGGGUCCGCGGGUCGGAUGACACUAUGGAGAUGUUAUCACAAGCGUCGUCACGACGGGCUGAUGCCCGCGGCGGCUGGCGAGGAGGAGGAGAGUGCACCGUGGGCGCAACUCCCCCGGUCCUCCCAGCGCCAGCAUGCGGUGGCUCGGUGGAGCGCCGACCCGAGGGUCCCGCCGGUCGUGGAUUGUCUUUAUUGGCGACGGCGAUGAGGCUUCGGGUGGUGGCCCUCCACUCGUCAAGCUUCUCCGCAGCAGGAGGGAAGUCGAGGAGUAGCUGUGCGCGCGCCAAAGCUUCUGCCGGCGUGGGCGGCGGCGACAGCUACGUGGAUCGCGGCGCGCUUCGACUUCUAACUACGUUAGAAGGAGCUCCGUUACAACCCAGCGGCUACGUGCCAUUUUCGCCAGCGCUUCGGCGGGCGUGCUGAACCCCUUCAUCCUGCGGACGACGCACUGGGCUCUUCCCACGGUGGUGCCCAGGGUCACCAACGCGGUGACGCUGCUCGACACGCACACCAUGGAAGAGCGCACAGUGGUCGCCGGUGUGGGCGUCCUGGAGGUCGCUGCGCCGCCCGGAGGUGGCACAACGACACCCCUGGAGGGCCCGCGCCGCCUACGGGGGGCCCAGCUCCGUCUUUGGAUCCGGCGACGUGUAGCCGGUCGUCUGGUGCGCGAACGACGUCGCUCGCCAGGCUCUGACUACCAGGGCGUUGCUGGUGCUCGCGGACCGCGACCCGGGUCCUGUCUGUGACCGGUCCACUGCCCGCCCGCACCGGCACGGGCCGUUCGGCUCCCAACGAGCCGACCGCCGUGGCUGUCUUCUUCUUAGGAGCCAUGGCGACGAAGAACUACUAGGCUAACUACUAGACCAGAUUCUCACAAUUGCGCCCCCUACCUGGCGCGCCAAAGAUGUCGGUGUGGAACGACACCUACGGGAUCACAAGAAUCCCUACUACGGUUGCCGGGGUGCGGGGUUGCAAGAAGAGCAGGGCUAGUAGACAACACAAAGAUCGUUUACCCAGGUUCGGGCCGCGAGGAUGGGUAAAACCCUAGUCCUGCUUUGGUGGGUGUAUUUUCAGAGAGUUCUUGAGCUCUCGAACAAGCUGUGGUCAGUGCGUGGUUCAAAAGAGCCGAAUCCUUCUCCAGUAUGCCAUGGGCCUCCUUUUAUAGUCGAAAGGGGUUGCCACAGUGGCACACAGGAGGUGGAAAGGCGUACAGUGCCCUGAGCUUAUCGCUCGUAUUACAGGACAAGAUGCAUUUAAUGCGUAGCUUAGGUGUCCCCUUGCUUUAUUGGGGAUGGGGGCGAGGCCCGUCCCGUCCGUCGCCGCUCCUCCUCGCUUUGACACGCGCCCUGGCCAGUGAGGCGCGUGGUGCCAUGUAAGCAGGCAGGCAGGCAGCAGAGGUGGCGCAGUGGCGGAGCCUUCACGAAGAUAUGCAUGCCGCCACGUAGGCGCUUGAUGAGUUGGCCUAGGAGCUGCAUGUUGCCACGCAGGUGCCCGCCCAGCUGGUUGGGCUGGCAGCUGCAUGUGAACAGCGGUGGAAGCUUGGUUGGCGUGGGCCUAGCGGUGGCCCUGCUGGCGUCCGUGGUGAGGGCCUUGCCGGGUGGCCCGGCAAGGGUCUUGCUGUGGCGCGCUGUCAUCCCCGGCGAGGGCCUUGCCGGGGGUCUGGUGACCUUCCUCGGCAGGGAUCUUGCCGAGGAUCGUCGUCUUCUAAUCCUCAUCUGAUUUUGAAUAUGUCUUCACAAAGAUCUGCAUGCCACCACGGAGGUGCCUCCCGAGCCCUGGCCCAACGUGAUGUUGGAGACCAUGGGCUCAAGGGUGGCCCGCUCUGUUGGUGCGAGGCGAGCUGUCCCGGCAAGGAUCUUGCCGGGGCUGCUGAGGCUGCCCCAGCAAGGGUCUUGCCGGGGAACAUGCUUCGUCCCUCUGCUUUUUGUGGUCUUGGCCUUGGCGUUGCUCUUAUUAUCUUGGACUUUGGUCUUACCUUGGCUCACCUCCCCUGUUCUGCUUGGCGUGACCGUAGGCGCGUCUCCGACUGCCCGUGCACAUGUAUAGGGGUACAAAAACGCACCCUUUUUUUUGUACACCGACAUAUAUCUAUCCAUUCUUGCUACGACUUGUUGAAUAUUCGAAUGAUAAUCAUAAAAGAGAAUGUUGACUAGUGAAUUGUUUAUUUUGCAGAAAAGUGCGCAAAGGCACUAUAAUCGUCAAGAUUUCUACUAUGUGGCUAACGAGAAGAGACAAGGGUAUGAAAGAAAUACGUCAAGGCCUGAGCGUGAAGGAAAGAAGUAAUGUAGGGGAGCAAACUAAAAGAAGAGGAGGAUCUUCUUGGGCAUAAAUGAAGAGAAGAGGAGGGCCAAUGUGCAAAUGUGGCAGAUCAGAGAGGGGAAUGAAAUCCCUAGCGGCACCUCAUUGCAAAUCGGGCCUGGCCACAUCUCCAUCUCUCUCCCCCUCACCACUUCUUCCACCACCGGCCGCCGCCGCGGCCAGGCCGGCGUGGCGGCGCGCCACCAACACCACCGCGCCAUAGCACCACCCAUAAUCUCCAUCCAUCUGCGCCUCCCGGCCACCCAUCAUUCCCUCCAUCCACAGCGCCGCCAGAACCCAUCCAUCAUCACCUCCAGCCGGCGCCGCCGCCUCGCCUACAGCCAUCUCCCUGCUGUCCGCUGCUCUCCUCUUCUUUCCAACCUUCUUCUCCUCACCAUGCUGCUGCUCCUCCCUCUCAAUCUCUACUGCUGCUCUUCCUUGCCCCCCCACCCCCCCGUGCUGCUGCCUCUCCUUCCCUUCGUUGCUUGCUGCUUCUCCUUUGAUCCCUUUGCUACUGCUCCUCUUCUUCGUGCCCAACCUCCGCUGCUGCUCCUCUUUCCUGCUGCUACUCCCUCUCACCACGCCUCUGCUGCUCUCUUUCCCCUCCUGCUGCUGCUCUCCUCACCAUGCUGCUUCUCCUCUUGCUGCUGCUGCCCGCCCCCGACCUCCUCCUGCUAUCUCUCUCUACUUCCCCUGCUACCUUUCUUCUCUGAACCUACCUACUGCUUCUCUCUCUCUCUGAAAUUGCUGUAGUACUAAGAUUUGUAAGACAGUGUACUACAACCUGUUAAUUGUUCAGUUCAGAUUUUUGCUUGUUUAGUAUUAUUCUGUUGAUCUGUGCUAAUCUUGUGGCUAGUAUAAUUUCGUUUCUGUUGUUACUUGUGUAACCUGAACCGUGGUUAGUAUCCUAUUUGCAUAUGUGUGUUUUGUAGUCCCUGUAUUAGUUACGUACCUGUGAUAUAUAAAUGUGUGUGUGCGUGUGUGUGUGUAAUUCAUCAAAAUAUAUUGUUGUGUGAUGAUGAUAUAUGUUCAGUCUAGAGACACGUUAUUUUUCUUGCUUUGUAGAUCGAUGUGAACUAGUACCCUUGUGUGUUUCUGUUGUCACUAGUUAAAUUGAUCACCUAUGUACUACUUGUUGUAGAAACUUGUUACAUUAGUCCUUGUGCUAGCUAUGCACCUGUGAUAAAUAUGUGUGUGAUGUGAAACAUUUCUGUUCUGUCCUAUAAUAUUGUUUCCUCCCUCUUUUGCUUGUCAUUAUGCUAUAUGUGUUCAUGUCCUAAUGUUUCCCUUUAUGUUAGUUUCUAAUUUCUCAUGCCUAAUAAAAAUACCAAAAGACAGCAAGUAAGAUCUGAUCCUCCCUUUGCUAUUUUGCCUUUUCUUUGUGGAUCAUCUUUGGGAGCAACCUUGUUUAGUUUAGGUUUAUUUUCUUGCAGCCAUAAUCUCAAUUGUGUUACCUAGAUUUAGCUGAGCAUAGUCGCCGUCGCCUAGUCCCUGCGGGGAACACGACACUCGCGAUUUGGGCGAAAUAUCCCACCACAUUUACAAACGAUCAGCGAGGCUCAUCGUCGUCCUUGCUAGGCGGCCCUUUCCCCUUGUGCUCGGUGUUUAGCUUACCGACCUGUUUGAAGACCCAACAAUUUUUGCUGGUAUGAUUGGCAGGCUUGUCAGGGGUGCCAUGGAUCUGGCAAGGCCGAUCGAGUAUUCUGUCCAAACUGGAUGAACCAUCUUUGUUUCCUUUGAAUGGCUUCUUUCGUUGACCGGGUUUAGAGCCACUGAAUCCAGCGUUGACCGCCGUAUCUUCGGUAUCUUCAUU